CCUACGGGUUGCACCAGUGGGGAAUAUUGCACAAUGGGCGCAAGCCUGAUGCAGCCAUGCCGCGUGUAUGAAGAAGGCCUUAGGGUUGUAAAGUACUUUCAGUUGGGAGGAAGGCGUUGAUGCUAAUAUCAUCAACGAUUGACGUUGCCAACAGAAGAAGCACCGGCUAACUCCGUGCCAGCAGCCGCGGUAAUACGGAGGGUGCAAGCGUUAAUCGGAAUUACUGGGCGUAGAGCGCACGCAGGCGGUUGAUUAAGUUAGAUGUGAAAUCCCCGGGCUUAACCUGGGAAUGGCAUCUAAGACUGGCCAGCUAGAGUCUUGUGGAGGGGGGUAGAAUUCCAUGUGUAGCGGUGAAAUGCGUAGAGAUGUGGAGGAAUACCGGUGGCGAAGGCGGCCCCCUGGACAAAGACUGACGCUCAGGUGCGAAAGCGUGGGGGGCAAACAGGAUUAGAUACCCGUGUAGUC
This 465-nucleotide ribosomal RNA is filed under the name uncultured bacterium. RNAcentral's name for it is "bacterial SSU rRNA". It matches the Rfam family "Bacterial small subunit ribosomal RNA", at positions 338 to 795 of the family's 1533-position model. The record is from RNAcentral.